This 23-nucleotide microRNA is filed under the name Magallana gigas (Pacific oyster). RNAcentral describes it as "Mgi-Mir-184-P15m_5p* (star (passenger))". Lineage: Eukaryota; Metazoa; Mollusca; Bivalvia; Ostreida; Ostreidae. The record is from RNAcentral.
CCUUGUCGCACAUUCGCCACAGU